This is a non-coding RNA of Salvelinus sp. IW2-2015, 894 nucleotides long. The record is from RefSeq and is a predicted model, not a curated record. Lineage: Eukaryota; Metazoa; Chordata; Actinopteri; Salmoniformes; Salmonidae.
AUAUCUUCUUCAACUGCAUCUAUAAAUUCAACAACAAAACUGGAAGAGAGGAAAGUGCAACAUCGGUAACCAACUCAAACAAGCAGAUCCAGAUGUUUGGUAGACAGACACCCUAAUUCAGGUGUUGAAGACAAAAGCUACAUGCACCACCACCACCACCAGCAAUUGCGAGAUCACCGCAGGGACAGCACAACUCCUACGUGUUUUUAUGCACUGUAAAAAAUCAGGGUGGACCAGAUUGAUGAGCUCUCCCUACAAUUUGUUUCUGCAGUGAGGAGACACCCUCUUUAGAUAAUUAUUUUGUAACGUAUCUGCAGAAAAACAUUGUUUUGAGCUCAAAAAGCAGUAGAAGCAGUAUGCAAACCAGCAGAAUGCAAAUAUUUCACCGACGCGAUACGGCUCCCAACUUUCACCAAAAAGAUCAGUUCAAAAAGAGCCAUUUGUUGGUGAACGACCCAUCACUCGUGUAAGGUACGUUUUCUGUGGAUCCCAGCUCAUGCUGGGGUAGGGGGAAAUGAGGCAGUGGAUAAGGUUGCGAAGAAAGCUCUGAAGAGGUAGGAGAUAUAUGUGGUGUUACCGUUAGGGGGGAUGGAAUGUAGGAGCAUCAUAGCAGAGUGGCUGACACAGGAGUGGCAACUUGAGUGGAGGAACGGGGGAUUCUAUCCAGAAAUCUGUGAGGAAGGUCAGUGGGUAUGUGUGGAGUGAAAGGAGGGAUGAGGUUCUGUUGACAAGGCUGAGGUUGAAUCAUUGUGGAUUGGGAAGUGGGUUAUUGUUAGUGGGGAAACAACCAGAUGAGAAGUGUAAGGAAUGUGAAGAGGUAGAGACUGUGAAGCAUGCCCUGUUAUAUUGAUGAGUGGCGCAGUAGUCUAAGGCAUUGCAUCUUAGUGUAAAAGG